AAGUCGUAACAAGGUUUCCGUAGGUGAACCUGCGGAAGGAUCAUUAACACGUCUUUAUAUCCAAUAUAUAAACUAAACGCGAACUAAAACCCCCGACCUAUCAUAUAUACACGGUCAAGGUUAAUUGGGAUUGUACGUAUAUAUACGUAUGAUCCUUUUAAUUAACUCUUGACUGAUGGUAGGCAAUUUUAUCAACAAUCAUUUUAAACUCUUAUAACCUAGUUGAUCUAACUACUAAGACAUUCUAGUAUUCAUUCUAUGAAUACUGCUUGUUGUUAUAUUACGAAAUGUAAGAACAACUCUUAGCAAUGGAUAUCUUGGUUCUC
Molecule: unclassified non-coding RNA, 326 nt
Filed under: fungal sp.
Lineage: Eukaryota; Fungi
Description: partial internal transcribed spacer region
Rfam family: Eukaryotic small subunit ribosomal RNA (bases 1-46)
Source: RNAcentral